CUGCUUGUCUCUUUCCAUAGAAGUGUCCUUCAACUUCCCCCUGAAUAUAUGUGCUUUCUGUGAGUGAAGGGAGUGAACAUUUCCUCCCCCCCCCAUGAUUCCCUGGCUUUGUCACAUGAAAUAGUGCACAAAAGGAUCCCAGAUCUGGUGGUGAUCAUGCUGCUGGGAGACAGUGGAGGUCAAAGACAGCUUCUGCAACUUCUAAUGCUGACUGGUGUCCUUGGGCAGAUGAGGAGGCAUGUGCUCCUGGUCCCACAGCUGCUUCCUUGUGCUGCUGCUGCUGUCCACCUCACCUCCCUUCCAGUGUCAGGCUGGGCUGGUCCUGUUUCAGCUCUUACAGGAUUCUCGCACUGGUGAGAGUUUGUGUUUGAAAAAGAGAGGGGAAGAGAGAGAGCAGGGAGCAGCAGUCGUAGGCAUGCUGAAGAGUGUAUGUGGGAAAGAACUGGAGGAGGAGGAGGGGAGAAGGCAGAAAUACGAGUGAGAACAUACAAACUGGGGCUUCAUGCAUUGGCACAGAUGAAGCCAUUUUUGGAUGGGUAUAGGAAAUGAAGUAGCAAGGAAAUGAAGAUUUACUGUCACGUUACAAAUUAAUUUUGUUUUUAAAAAUUUGCAAUCCAGUGACCUUUGACCAUUCAAAAGGAACAGAUUGUUGACAUCAGAGAGACUGGAGUACAAAUUCCAUGCAAGUAAUGUGGAACAUACUUCUUUUUGCCUCUUUAGUGUAACGGCUUCAUUUUUGGUGCAAGUUUGAUGAAGUUGUAUAACCUGUUUAAAUCCUGGAUAAGCAAAUCACCAUUUUACUUUGUUGUUGUUUGUUUUAAAUCCUUGUACCAGGAUUUGAUAAUUUAUGAAUACAACACAAUAAAACAUGUUAAUGUUGAUUCUACA
Molecule: long non-coding RNA, 888 nt
Filed under: Pogona vitticeps (central bearded dragon)
Lineage: Eukaryota; Metazoa; Chordata; Lepidosauria; Squamata; Agamidae
Description: lncRNA (ENSPVIG00000007893.1)
Source: RNAcentral